GACGAACCGUGCGAACGUUCUUCGGAAUCACUGGGCUUAAAGCGCGUGUAGGCGGGAGGGCACGUCCGUUGCUGAAAUCCCCCGGCUCAACCGGGGAACGGGCGCGGAUACGACUCUCCUUGAGGGGCGUAGGGGGACCUGGAACUUCCGGUGGAGCGGUGAAAUGCGUUGAGAUCGGAAGGAACGCCCGUGGCGAAAGCGAGGUCCUGGACGCCUACUGACGCUGAGACGCGAAAGCCAGGGGAGCGAACAGG
RNAcentral lists this ribosomal RNA (254 nucleotides) under uncultured bacterium. RNAcentral describes it as "partial 16S ribosomal RNA". It matches the Rfam family "Bacterial small subunit ribosomal RNA", at positions 524 to 776 of the family's 1533-position model. The record is from RNAcentral.